AUGGAUGAAGAGAAUUUCACGGAACAUGGCAUUGGUGAACUACCUCAAAAUCUUUACGACGAAGAACAGCUGAACUCUUUCAACAAUACGGCGCAGUAUAAUGAAGAGCCUGGUGGUAACUCAUACAACGAAGAGCCUGGAAACCAAUAUGACGAAGGAGCUGGGGAUGCAUACAACGAGGUGCAAGCAAAUUUGCUCAGCGAAGAACCAGAAACUCAGUACAAUGAUGAACCAGCAAACGCUUACCAGGACGAGAAUGCAUACAAUGGGGAAGUGAAGCAGCAGGAAAAUUUGCAGGUAGAGGGAGAUGAUAAGAGGUGGCCAGGUUGGCCAGGAGAUAGCGUUUUCCGUAUACUGGUCCCAUCCCAGAAGGUUGGUGCUAUCAUUGGCCGCAAAGGGGAGUUUAUCAAAAGGAUGUGCGAGGAGUCUAAAGCUCGCAUAAAAAUACUAGAUGGCCCACCUGGUGUAACAGAACGAGCAGUAAUAAUUUCAGCAAAGGAUGAGCCAGAUGAACCGAUAUCUCCAGCUAUGGAUGGCUUGCUUAAAAUUCAUAAGCGGAUAACUGAUGGUUCAGAUGGUGAAUCUGGUCAGCUCCAACGGGGUGCUAGUAAUGUAGGACCAACACGACUGCUAGUGCCAGCUUCCCAAGCUGGCAGCCUUAUUGGGAAGCAAGGAGCAACCAUUAAAUCCAUCCAAGAUUCUUCAAAGUCAGUUGUCCGGAUUGUUGAAAAUGUGCCCCCUGUUGCACUAAAUGACGAUAGAGUUGUGGAGAUACAAGGCGAGCCUCUUGGUGUCCACAAAGCAGUGGAGUUGAUAGCAAGUCACUUGAGAAAAUUUCUUGUUGACCACAGCGUUCUCCCACUAUUUGAACAGCAAAUGAAAAUGCACAGUGUGCAGAGAGAGCAGCCCAUGGCAGCCCCACAGCAUUGGGCGCCUACUCAACCCUGGGUUCCUCCUCCAAGUCUCCCUCCUGGUGGUCCAGGUUAUGGUGGAAAUCCACAGUUCAUGCCUCCAAGGCCACAAGACAACUAUUAUCCCCGUCCAGAUGUGCCGCCUAUGGAAAAGCAGCCGCACUAUGGCAUUUCUGCAUAUGGACGUGAGGCACCACCAAGUGGUACUUCAGGCAAUCAACCACCACUGCAUGUGGCCUCUCAGGUACAUAACAUGCAAAUUCCUCUCUCCUAUGCUGAUGCUGUGAUUGGGGCGGCUGGUGCUAGUAUCAGCUAUAUCCGUAGGCACAGUGGUGCAGCAGUAACUAUUCAAGAAAGCAGAGGCGCACCUGGAGAGAUGACUGUGGAGAUAAUUGGAAGCGCAUCCCAAGUUCAAACUGCCCAGCAACUGAUCCAGCUCUUAUUUCUGAAUCCAUUUGGGAACUGCACCAUGCAUAAUUUCAUGGCGGAAGCUGCUCCACAAACCCGGCCACCGGCUUCCAACCCUCCUGCUCCGCCAGUCGAUCCGGGUUACAGCUCUUACCCGCCGCCACCAUAUGGGGCUCCUCCCACAGGUGCAGGAGGCCCUGCUCCUCACAAUGGCGGAGACUACGGUGGCGGCUCCUACCAUCCCAGCUAUGGAUACUAG
Molecule: ribosomal RNA, 1578 nt
Filed under: Triticum aestivum (bread wheat)
Lineage: Eukaryota; Viridiplantae; Streptophyta; Magnoliopsida; Poales; Poaceae
Description: partial small subunit ribosomal RNA
Source: RNAcentral